This is a long non-coding RNA of Saccostrea cuccullata (small rock oyster), 332 nucleotides long. RefSeq lists it as uncharacterized. The record is from RefSeq and is a predicted model, not a curated record. The transcript is spliced from 3 exons. Lineage: Eukaryota; Metazoa; Mollusca; Bivalvia; Ostreida; Ostreidae.
ACACAAAAAGCAAAUGCAAGGUCUGCAAUGAAAAUCGACCGAUACCCGGGGGUCGGGCUAGUGGUUUUCUGCAUGAAGGUCGCCCCGUUGGCCAGUAAAAAAAGAUAAUAUUAUUUAUACACAUGCAAUACAUGCAAAGCACACCUGAGUUCAGAUACCACUGAAAGUGAACAUCAGUGGAACUUUGAUGAUCUAGGCCACUCUAUUGUUGCAGCAACACCAGCAGGCGUUGGACAUUCAUAAAGUUGAAAGAACAAACCUAUGACUUGAACACACAAUUUGUGAUCUGAAUAUAGUUCACAAAUUUAAGGAAAGCAACUAUUAAAGACAUC